Acanthosepion pharaonis is the source of this 96-nucleotide non-coding RNA. NCBI's taxonomy places the organism in Eukaryota, Metazoa, Mollusca, Cephalopoda, Sepiida, Sepiidae. The record is from the annotation of a GenBank genome assembly.
GAAAAGCUAGUUCCUGUAUGAUCACUAAAGUUAAGCAACCUUGAGCCUUGUCACUACUUAGAUGGGUGACUAUUUGGGAAUACCAGGUGCUGUAAG